This is a long non-coding RNA of Struthio camelus australis, 3698 nucleotides long. Ensembl annotates it as proprotein convertase subtilisin/kexin type 5. NCBI's taxonomy places the organism in Eukaryota, Metazoa, Chordata, Aves, Struthioniformes, Struthionidae. The record is from Ensembl.
GUGAACAAUUUUGACACUGUAGAGAUUUGUUCCAAUUCUGAAAGAAGUGAAAAGUCGACUCUCCAACCCUUUGUGAAAUACGCUUCUGAACCUAAUUAUAGUGAUUUAUGUUCCAAAUCUGCACAGGGGUAACAGAUCUGUGCUUGCUGGGCUCUUUCCAGGACUUCGUUGAGUUUAGAACUAGUGAAGAACUGGACGCGAUCUUCCUUCCUUUCCCAAUUCGUUUUGUACCAAAGCUGUUAAAGUCCAGAGGAACAGGGACCUUAAUUAACCAUACAUCCACCAAUUCACCACCAACUCGGAUCGCAUGUUGCUUUCCAUUCAGCCCACUGGGAAAAAGUGUAUUUUGCAGCCAGAUGUCCAGAUUGGAACACUGAAGGAUUACUACCACUUCUACCAUAGUAAAACAAUUAAAAGGUCAGUUCUCUCAAGUAGAGGUACCCACAGCUUCAUUUCAAUGGAACCAAAGGUGGAGUGGAUACAACAGCAGGUGGUUAAAAGAAGGAUAAAGAGAGAUUAUAAACCUGGUGGUACCCAAUCCACUUAUUUCAAUGAUCCCAAGUGGCCAAGCAUGUGGUACAUGCACUGCAGUGAUAACACCCAUCAUUGCCAAUCAGAUAUGAAUAUAGUAGGUGCUUGGAAGAGAGGCUACACUGGAAAGAACGUUGUGGUCACCAUCCUGGAUGACGGCAUUGAAAGAAACCAUCCUGACUUGAUGCAGAAUUAUGAUUCACAGGCCAGUUUUGAUGUCAAUGGAAAUGAUUUUGACCCCAUGCCUCGGUAUGAUGCCAGCAACGAGAACAAGAAGCAUGGUCCAGUGCAAGUGGCAGCCACGGCAAACAACUCACACUGCACUGUAGGGAUCGCCUUUAAUGCCAAGAUUGGAGGCGUACGGAUGCUGGAUGGGGACGUGACAGACAUGGUCGAGGCAAAGUCCCUGAGCCUUAAUCCGCAGCAUAUCCACAUCUACAGCGCCAGCUGGGGGCCUGAUGAUGAUGGUAAGACUGUGGACGGACCUGCUUCUCUAGCGCGUCAGGCCUUUGAGAACGGCAUCAGAAUGGGACGAAGAGGCUUAGGCUCAGUUUUUGUUUGGGCAUCUGGAAAUGGUGGAAGGAGUCGAGACCAUUGCUCCUGUGAUGGCUACACCAAUAGCAUAUACACUAUCUCCAUAAGCAGCACAGCUGAAAGUGGGAAGAAGCCCUGGUAUCUGGAAGAAUGUGCAUCCACGCUAGCUACGACAUACAGCAGCGGGGAAUCCUACGACAGGAAAAUAAUCACCACAGACCUGAGGCAGCGUUGCACAGACAGCCAUACGGGAACCUCAGCCUCUGCACCUAUGGCUGCAGGCAUCAUUGCACUGGCACUGGAAGCAAAUCCAUUUCUGACCUGGAGAGACAUACAGCAUAUUAUUGUAAGGACUUCACGUGCGGGACAUCUGAAUGCUAACGACUGGAAAACCAAUGCAGCUGGUUAUAAGGUGAGCCACCUCUAUGGAUUUGGACUGAUGGAUGCUGAAGCAAUGGUGAUAGAAGCAGAAAAGUGGACAACAGUCCCUCCACAGCAUGUGUGUGUGGAGAACACGGAUCGGCAAAUCAAAACAAUACGACCUGACAGCGUUGUCCGUUCAAUUUACAAAGCCACCGGCUGCUCAGAUAACCCCAACCACCACGUGAUCUACUUGGAGCAUGUGGUUGUGCGCAUCACUAUUACUCACCCUCGACGUGGAGACUUGGCAAUUUACCUAACCUCUCCUUCGGGAACUAGGUCACAGCUAUUGGCCAACAGGUUAUUUGAUCAUUCCAUGGAAGGAUUUAAAAACUGGGAGUUUAUGACUACUCACUGCUGGAGUGAAAAAGCAGCAGGUGACUGGAUCUUGGAAAUCUGUGACACUCCCUCUCAGCUGAGAAAUUUCAAGACUCCAGGUAAAUUGAAAGAAUGGUCCUUAGUACUGUAUGGAACAUCUGUCCAGCCUUACUCACCAAGAAAUGAUUUUCCAAAAGUGGAACGAGUGCGCUCUAGUCCAGUUGAAGAAACUACAGAAGAUUAUGGAACAGAUGACUAUUCAGGUCCCUGCAAUGCAGAAUGCAGUAAAGUAGGGUGUGAUGGGCCAGGACCAGAACACUGUACUGACUGUCUGCACUACUACUACAAAUCUAAGAACAACACACGGAUCUGUGUUUCGAACUGCCCACCUGGUCACUAUAAUGCAGACAAGAAACGCUGUAAAAAAUGCUCACCCAAUUGUGAAACCUGUGUUGGAGGCCACAGUGACCAGUGCAUGACCUGUAAAUUGGGCUACUACCUGAAUGAAGUAACCAAUAGCUGUAUUACCAGCUGCCCAGAUGAGUUUUACCUGGAUAAGAGUAAGAUUGUUUGUCGAAAAUGCAGUGAAAACUGUAAGACAUGUGUUGAAUUCCAAAUCUGCACAGAAUGCAAACACGGCCUAAGUUUACAUGGCUCCAAAUGUGCUAUCCACUGUGAAGAAGGAAAAUACCAUAAUGGUAGGGAAUGUGAACCGUGUCACCGUUCCUGUGCAACAUGUGCAGGUGCUGGAGUAGAUUCUUGUAUAAACUGCACACAGGGCUAUUUUAUGGAAGAUGGAAGAUGUGUGCAAUCCUGUAGUAGUGGUUAUUACCUUGAUCACUCUACUGAAAGUGGAUAUAAAACCUGCAAAAGAUGUGACGCCAGCUGCGUGGAAUGCAGCGGCCAGGGAGACCGAAACUGCACAAGCUGUCCAAGUGGCUAUAAUCUAGACACUGGUGUCUGUAUAGUGGGAACGGUCUGCAAGGAUGCCACGGAAGAGUCUUGGGCCGAGGGCGGAUUCUGUAUGCUGGUGAAAAAGAACAAUCUCUGCCAGCGGAAAGUGCUUCAGCAACUGUGUUGCAGAACAUGUACGCACAAGGGGUGAGCUGACACCUCCCAGAGUCCUCUUGCUCCUGUAGACUUAUAGAUUAAUCCAUAUUAUUGAAAAAGGAAAAAAAAUCAAAAAAAAAAAAAGCAAGCCACCUCUCUCUCUCUCUCUCCCUCCUCUUUGUCUGGGGAGAUGGUGAACUGUUUGUUGGGACUUAAAUGGAAAAAACUACAACACACCUACCUUUCAUAACUGGGUGUUUAGAGCUAAGCAUCCAGGAUCACAGAGUCAAUAUUGUGUGACCAAAGCAUUUGAUGCCAAAAUUAACAUUUAACUCAUGAUUUGAUUUCCUGUCAACCUUAGGAUUAUUCCUGUUUUUUGAAGGUCCUUUUUCUUCCCUUUUUUUCCUGCUUGUUUCCCCUUCAAGAUGUUUAAAGAGUGUUUCAAGAAUACACCACACGUUUACAUGGAUUAAAACUAAACAAUACAAAAAUGUUUGCAUCAGUCUUUUUUGUGCUAUGUAUAGAGAUAGGAGCAACUUGAGGAAAUGAGUCCCUGAGGGAAUCAGAAACAUCAGCUGCAGGACUAAGUUCUGCACCUUUUGUAACAGUAUUAAAAAAAAAAAAAAGAAGAGUGAUCAUUUCUGCACACAUUUCUUUCUUACUUCCUCUGCUGUGUGCUGUUUUAUGUAUCACAUGCAGUAUGUAUAUAUGUUUUGCCCAAAAUGUUUUUUUGGUCAUAUAGAUCUCAUUUUUAGACAGCUAGCUUAUUAACAGAUAUGCUGGGAUUUUUAUUUUAUUUUUUUAAAUUGUCAAAACUAUUUCAAAUAAACUUUAAAAGAAUACCA